This 440-nucleotide ribosomal RNA is filed under the name uncultured bacterium. RNAcentral's name for it is "bacterial SSU rRNA". It matches the Rfam family "Bacterial small subunit ribosomal RNA", at positions 338 to 794 of the family's 1533-position model. The record is from RNAcentral.
CCUACGGGAGGCAGCAGUGGGGAAUCUUGCACAAUGGGCGAAAGCCUGAUGCAGCAACGCCGCGUGCGGGAAGAAGGCCCUAGGGUUGUAAACCGCUUUCAGCAGGGAAGAAAAUGACGGUACCUGUAGAAGAAGGUGCGGCCAACUACGUGCCAGCAGCCGCGGUGACACGUAGGCACCAAGCGUUGUCCGGAUUUAUUGGGCGUAAAGAGCUCGUAGGCGGUUCGGUAAGUCGGGUGUGAAAACUCUGGGCUCAACCCAGAGCCGCCACCCGAUACUGCUGUGACUCGAGUGCGGUAGGGGAGCGGGGAAUUCCUGGUGUAGCGGUGAAAUGCGCAGAUAUCAGGAGGAACACCAGUGGCGAAGGCGCCGCUCUGGGCCGUGACUGACGCUGAGGAGCGAAAGCGUGGGUAGCAAACAGGAUUAGAUACCCUUGUAGU